CACGUAGGGCGCAAGCGUUGUCCGGAAUUAUUGGGCGUAAAGAGCUCGUAGGCGGUCUGUUGCGUCCGCUGUGAAAACUCGGGGCUUAACCCCGAGCCUGCAGUGGAUACGGGCAGACUAGAGGUAGGUAGGGGAGAAUGGAAUUCCCGGUGUAGCGGUGAAAUGCGCAGAUAUCGGGAGGAACACCGGUGGCGAAGGCGAGUCUCUGGGAUGAUGCUGACGCUGAGGCGCGAAAGCCAGGGGAGCAAACGGG
This 253-nucleotide ribosomal RNA is filed under the name uncultured bacterium. Its description in RNAcentral is "partial 16S ribosomal RNA". It matches the Rfam family "Bacterial small subunit ribosomal RNA", at positions 524 to 776 of the family's 1533-position model. The record is from RNAcentral.